This 500-nucleotide ribosomal RNA is filed under the name uncultured bacterium. RNAcentral's name for it is "partial 16S ribosomal RNA". It matches the Rfam family "Bacterial small subunit ribosomal RNA", at positions 30 to 523 of the family's 1533-position model. The record is from RNAcentral.
AUUGAACGCUGGCGGAAUGCUUUACACAUGCAAGUCGAACGGCAGCACGGACUUCGGUCUGGUGGCGAGUGGCGAACGGGUGAGUAAUGUAUCGGAACGUGCCCAGUCGUGGGGGAUAACGUAGUGAAAAUUACGCUAAUACCGCAUACGAUCUAUGGAGGAAAGCGGGGGAUCGCAAGACCUCGCGCGAUUGGAGCGGCCGAUAUCAGAUUAGGUAGUUGGUGGGGUAAAGGCCCACCAAGCCAACGAUCUGUAGCUGGUCUGAGAGGACGACCAGCCACACUGGAACUGAGACACGGUCCAGACUCCUACGGGAGGCAGCAGUGGGGAAUUUUGGACAAUGGGCGAAAGCCUGAUCCAGCCAUUCCGCGUGCAGGAUGAAGGCCCUCGGGUUGUAAACUGCUUUUGUACAGAACGAUAAGGUUUCUACUAAUACUAGGAGCUCAUGACGGUACUGUAAGAAUAAGCACCGGCUAACUACGUGCCAGCCGCCGCUGUAA